GACGAGGGGUCCUAGCGUUGUUCGGAAUCACUGGGCGUAAAGCGUAUGUAGGCGGCUUUUCAAGUCAGGUGUGAAAUCCCAUGGCUUAACCAUGGAACUGCAUUUGAAACUGUAAAGCUUGAGUAUUGGAGAGGAUGGUAGAAUUCCUGGUGUAGUGGUGAAAUACGUAGAUAUCAGGAGGAAUACCGGUGGCGAAGGCGGCCAUCUGGCCAAAUACCGACGCUGAGAUACGAAAGUGUGGGGAUCAAACAGG
This 253-nucleotide ribosomal RNA is filed under the name uncultured bacterium. RNAcentral's name for it is "partial 16S ribosomal RNA". It matches the Rfam family "Bacterial small subunit ribosomal RNA", at positions 524 to 776 of the family's 1533-position model. The record is from RNAcentral.